This 474-nucleotide ribosomal RNA is filed under the name uncultured organism. Its description in RNAcentral is "partial 16S ribosomal RNA". It matches the Rfam family "Bacterial small subunit ribosomal RNA", at positions 332 to 797 of the family's 1533-position model. The record is from RNAcentral.
UACACUCCUGCGGGAGGCAGCAGUGGGGAAUUUUGGACAAUGGGCGAAAGCCUGAUCCAGCAAUGCCGCGUGAGUGAAGAAGGCCUUCGGGUUGUAAAGCUCUUUUGUCAGGGAAGAAACGGUGAGAGCUAAUAUCUCUUGCUAAUGACGGUACCUGAAGAAUAAGCACCGGCUAACUACGUGCCAGCAGCCGCGGUAAUACGUAGGGUGCAAGCGUUAAUCGGAAUUACUGGGCGUAAAGCGUGCGCAGGCGGUUUUGUAAGUCUGAUGUGAAAUCCCCGGGCUCAACCUGGGAAUUGCAGUGGAGACUGCAAGGCUAGAAUCUGGCAGAGGGGGGUAGAAUUCCACGUGUAGCAGUGAAAUGCGUAUAUAUGUGGAGGAACACCGAUGGCGAAGGCAGCCCCCUGGGUCAAGAUUGACGCUCAUGCACGAAAGCGUGGGGAGCAAACGGGAUGAGAUACCCCGGUAGUCCCA